This 376-nucleotide ribosomal RNA is filed under the name uncultured bacterium. RNAcentral's name for it is "bacterial SSU rRNA". It matches the Rfam family "Bacterial small subunit ribosomal RNA", at positions 523 to 898 of the family's 1533-position model. The record is from RNAcentral.
AUACGUAGGGAGCGAGCGUUGUCCGGAUUUACUGGGUGUAAAGGGUGCGUAGGCGGCUGAACAAGUCAGGUGUGAAAACCAUCGGCUCAACUGAUGGAUUGCACUUGAAACUGUGCAGCUUGAGUGAAGCAGAGGCAGGCGGAAUUCCCGGUGUAGCGGUGAAAUGCGUAGAGAUCGGGAGGAACACCAGUGGCGAAGGCGGCCUGCUGGGCUUUAACUGACGCUGAGGCACGAAAGCAUGGGUAGCAAACAGGAUUAGAUACCCUGGUAGUCCAUGCUGUAAACGAUGAUUACUAGGCGUGGGUGGUCUGACCCCAUCCGUGCCGGAGUUAACACAAUAAGUACUCCGCCUGGGAAGUACGAUCGCAAGAUUAAA